GGUUGUUACAACAAGUCCGAUAUGCAGUCAUGAUAUAACAAUAUUGUUACAACCUUGUGUCGUCAACCUUGUAACGUUCUUGUUAUAUCAUGAUUGUAUCAGACUUGUUGGAAUAACC
Molecule: microRNA precursor, 118 nt
Filed under: Paramuricea clavata
Lineage: Eukaryota; Metazoa; Cnidaria; Anthozoa; Malacalcyonacea; Plexauridae
Source: RNAcentral